This 526-nucleotide ribosomal RNA is filed under the name uncultured Paracoccaceae bacterium. Its description in RNAcentral is "bacterial SSU rRNA". It matches the Rfam family "Bacterial small subunit ribosomal RNA", at positions 339 to 883 of the family's 1533-position model. The record is from RNAcentral. Lineage: Bacteria; Pseudomonadati; Pseudomonadota; Alphaproteobacteria; Rhodobacterales; Paracoccaceae.
CUACGGGAGGCAGCAGUGGGGAAUCUUAGACAAUGGGCGCAAGCCUGAUCUAGCCAUGCCGCGUGAGUGAUGAAGGCCUUAGGGUCGUAAAGCUCUUUCGCCAGGGAUGAUAAUGACAGUACCUGGUAAAGAAACCCCGGCUAACUCCGUUCCACCAUACGCGGUAAUACGGAGGGGGUUAGCGUUGUUCGGAAUUACUGGGCGCAAUGCGCACGUAGGCGGAUUAGUCAGUCAGAGGUGAAAUCCCAGGGCUCAACCCUGGAACUGCCUUUGAUACUGCUAGUCUUGAGUUCGAGAGAGGUGAGUGGAAUUCCGAGUGUAGAGGUGAAAUUCGUAGAUAUUCGGAGGAACACCAGUGGCGAAGGCGGCUCACUGGCUCGAUACUGACGCUGAGGUGCGAAAGUGUGGGGAGCAAACAGGAUUAGAUACCCUGGUAGUCCACACCGUAAACGAUGAAUGCCAGUCGUCGGGUAGCAUGCUGUUCGGUGACACACCUAACGGAUUAAGCAUUCCGCCUGGGGAGUAC